RNAcentral lists this ribosomal RNA (423 nucleotides) under uncultured bacterium. RNAcentral describes it as "bacterial SSU rRNA". It matches the Rfam family "Bacterial small subunit ribosomal RNA", at positions 355 to 776 of the family's 1533-position model. The record is from RNAcentral.
UGAGGAAUAUUGGUCAAUGGGCUGAGGCCUGAACCAGCCAAGUCGCGUGAGGGAAGACGGUCCUAUGGAUUGUAAACCUCUUUUGUCGGGGAGCAACGGGGUCACGCGUGACCGAAGGGAGAGUACCCGAAGAAAAAGCAUCGGCUAACUCCGUGCCAGCAGCCGCGGUAAUACGGAGGAUGCGAGCGUUAUCCGGAUUUAUUGGGUUUAAAGGGUGCGUAGGCGGACUGUUAAGUCAGCGGUAAAAAUUCGGGGCCCAACCCCGUCGUGCCGUUGAAACUGGGAGUCUCGAGUGGGCGAGAAGUAUGCGGAAUGCGAGGUGUAGCGGUGAAAUGCAUAGAUAUCACGCAGAACUCCGAUUGCGAAGGCAGCAUACCGGCGCCCGACUGACGCUGAUGCACGAAAGCGUGGGGAUCGAACAGG